This 397-nucleotide ribosomal RNA is filed under the name uncultured bacterium. RNAcentral describes it as "bacterial SSU rRNA". It matches the Rfam family "Bacterial small subunit ribosomal RNA", at positions 362 to 776 of the family's 1533-position model. The record is from RNAcentral.
UAUUGCACAAUGGGGGAAACCCUGAUGCAGCGACGCCGCGUGAGUGAGGAAGUAUUUCGGUAUGUAAAGCUCUAUCAGCAGGGAAGAAAAUGACGGUACCUGACUAAGAAGCCCCGGCUAACUACGUGCCAGCAGCCGGCGUAAUACGUAGGGGGCAAGCGUUAUCCGGAUUUACUGGGUGUAAAGGGAGCGUAGACGGCUAAUCAAGUCAGAAGUGAAAACCCAGGGCUCAACCGUGGGAGUGCUUUUGAAACUGAGUAGCUAGAGUGCAGGAGAGGUAAGCGGAAUUCCUAGUGUAGCGGUGAAAUGCGUAGAUAUUAGGAGGAACACCAGUGGCGAAGGCGGCUUACUGGACGGUAACUGACGUUGAGGCUCGAAAGCGUGGGGAGCAAACAGG